ACCUUUUGGAAGCAGUCGUCGAAGGUGGAAUCAAUAACUGGGGUGAAGUCGUAACAAGGUAGCCGUAUCGGAAGGUGCGGCUGGAUCACCUCCUUUCUAAGGAGA
Molecule: ribosomal RNA, 105 nt
Filed under: Clostridioides difficile
Lineage: Bacteria; Bacillati; Bacillota; Clostridia; Peptostreptococcales; Peptostreptococcaceae
Description: partial 16S ribosomal RNA
Rfam family: Bacterial small subunit ribosomal RNA
Source: RNAcentral